GCGUGCCUACGGGACGCAGCAGUGAGGAAUAUUGGUCAAUGGGCGCAAGCCUGAACCAGCCAAGUCGCGUGAGGGAAGACGGCCCUACGGGUUGUAAACCUCUUUUGCCGGGGAGCAAGCCUGAGCACGUGUGCCCAGGCGGAGAGUACCCGGAGAAAAAGCAUCGGCUAACUCCGUGCCAGCAGCCGCGGUAAUACGGAGGAUGCGAGCGUUAUCCGGAUUUAUUGGGUUUAAAGGGUGCGCAGGCGGGCUGUUAAGCCGGCGGUAAAAAUUUAGGGUCCAACCCUCUCUAGCC
Molecule: ribosomal RNA, 295 nt
Filed under: uncultured bacterium
Lineage: Bacteria
Description: partial 16S ribosomal RNA
Rfam family: Bacterial small subunit ribosomal RNA
Source: RNAcentral